AGAAUGAACGCUGGCGGCAUGCCUAACACAUGCAAGUCGAACGAAGUCCUUCGGGGCUUAGUGGCGCACGGGUGCGUAACGCGUGGGAAUCUACCCUUAGGUUCGGAAUAACAGUUGGAAACGACUGCUAAUACCGGAUGAUGACGUAAGUCCAAAGAUUUAUCGCCUAGGGAUGAGCCCGCGUAGGAUUAGCUAGUUGGUGUGGUAAAGGCGCACCAAGGCGACGAUCCUUAGCUGGUCUGAGAGGAUGAUCAGCCACACUGGGACUGAGACACGGCCCAGACUCCUACGGGAGGCAGCAGUGGGGAAUAUUGGACAAUGGGCGAAAGCCUGAUCCAGCAAUGCCGCGUGAGUGAUGAAGGCCUUAGGGUUGUAAAGCUCUUUUACCCGGGAUGAUAAUGACAGUACCGGGAGAAUAAGCUCCGGCUAACUCCGCGCCAGCAGCCGC
RNAcentral lists this ribosomal RNA (448 nucleotides) under uncultured bacterium. RNAcentral's name for it is "SSU rRNA". It matches the Rfam family "Bacterial small subunit ribosomal RNA", at positions 26 to 518 of the family's 1533-position model. The record is from RNAcentral.